This 252-nucleotide ribosomal RNA is filed under the name uncultured microorganism. RNAcentral describes it as "partial 16S ribosomal RNA". It matches the Rfam family "Bacterial small subunit ribosomal RNA", at positions 524 to 776 of the family's 1533-position model. The record is from RNAcentral.
AACGUAGGGGGCGAGCGUUAAUCGGAUUUACUGGGCGUAAAGCGAGCGCAGGUGGUUUAAUAAGUCUGAUGUAAAAGGCAGUGGCUCAACCAUUGUGUGCAUUGGAAACUGUUAGACUUGAGUGCAGGAGAGGAGAGUGGAAUUCCAUGUGUAGCGGUGAAAUGCGUAGAUAUAUGGAGGAACACCGGUGGCGAAAGCGGCUCUCUGGCCUGUAACUGACACUGAGGCUCGAAAGCGUGGGGAGCAAACAGG